This 312-nucleotide unclassified non-coding RNA is filed under the name Hevea brasiliensis (rubber tree). The record is from RNAcentral. Lineage: Eukaryota; Viridiplantae; Streptophyta; Magnoliopsida; Malpighiales; Euphorbiaceae.
UCAGUGUUCAUCUUCGAACAACGACUCGAUUCAAAGCACACCCAUGAAGCCGCUUCACAUCAUCCCUUUGAAACUUUCCAAUCUCAUCAACGCUCCAAAUCUCACCACCAUUCAGUCCACUUUCACUUCCUCCUUGUCCUAAUCAUCUUUAAUCCAUCAGGGUAUUAUGGUAAUUACAUGAUCAAGUCUCUCUGCUAUAAAUAAAGCCAAGUGAGCUUAGCUCAUCAUCACAUCAUUUGCAUACCAGAAAAUCAAGAAUUGGGAAGAAAUGGGAAGAGUUAUGAAUACAUUUAUAGUUGUUUUAUUAUGUUU